This 439-nucleotide ribosomal RNA is filed under the name uncultured bacterium. Its description in RNAcentral is "bacterial SSU rRNA". It matches the Rfam family "Bacterial small subunit ribosomal RNA", at positions 29 to 507 of the family's 1533-position model. The record is from RNAcentral.
AACGAACGCUGGCGGCAGGCUUAACACAUGCAAGUCGAACGCUCGUAGCAAUACGGGAGUGGCGGACGGGUGAGUAACGCGUGGGAACGUGCCCUGAGGUACGGAAUAACUGAGGGAAACUUCAGCUAAUACCGUAUGAGCCCCGAGAGGGGAAAGAUUUAUCGCCUUGGGAGCGGCCCGCGUCGGAUUAGCUAGUUGGUGGGGUAACGGGCCUACCAAGGCUUCGAUCCGUAGCUGGUCUGAGAGGACGAUCAGCCACACUGGGACUGAGACACGGCCCAGACUCCUACGGGAGGCAGCAGUGGGGAAUCUUGCGCAAUGGGGGCAACCCUGACGCAGCCAUGCCGCGUGAACGAUGAAGGCCUUAGGGUUGUAAAGUUCUUUUACCCGUGACGAUGAUGACGGUAACGGGGGGAAUAAGCUCCGGCUAAACUUCGUG